GAUGAACGCUGGCGGCGUGCUUAACACAUGCAAGUCGAACGAAGCACUUUAUUUGAUUUCCUUCGGGACUGAUUAUUUUGUGACUGAGUGGCGGACGGGUGAGUAACGCGUGGGUAACCUGCCUUGUACAGGGGGAUAACAGUUGGAAACGGCUGCCAAUACCGCAUAAGCGCACAGCAUCGCAUGAUGCAGUGUGAAAAACUCCGGUGGUAUAAGAUGGACCCGCGUUGGAUUAGCUAGUUGGUGAGGUAACGGCCCACCAAGGCGACGAUCCAUAGCCGACCUGAGAGGGUGACCGGCCACAUUGGGACUGAGACACGGCCCAAACUCCUACGGGAGGCAGCAGUGGGGAAUAUUGCACAAUGGGCGAAAGCCUGAUGCAGCGACGCCGCGUGAGCGAAGAAGUAUUUCGGUAUGUAAAGCUCUAUCAGCAGGGAAGAUAAUGACGGUACCUGACGAAGAAGCACCGGCUAAAUACGUG
Molecule: ribosomal RNA, 481 nt
Filed under: uncultured bacterium
Lineage: Bacteria
Description: partial 16S ribosomal RNA
Rfam family: Bacterial small subunit ribosomal RNA
Source: RNAcentral